CGCGGAGUGGAGCAGUCUGGUAGCUCGUCGGGCUCAUAACCCGAAGGUCAUGAGGUUCAAAUCCCAUCUCCGCAACCA
Molecule: transfer RNA, 78 nt
Filed under: Clostridia bacterium
Lineage: Bacteria; Bacillati; Bacillota; Clostridia
Description: tRNA-Met
Rfam family: tRNA
About the family: Transfer RNA (tRNA) molecules are approximately 80 nucleotides in length. Their secondary structure includes four short double-helical elements and three loops (D, anti-codon, and T loops). Further hydrogen bonds mediate the characteristic L-shaped molecular structure. tRNAs have two regions of fundamental functional importance: the anti-codon, which is responsible for specific mRNA codon recognition, and the 3' end, to which the tRNAs corresponding amino acid is attached (by aminoacyl-tRNA synthetases). tRNAs cope with the degeneracy of the genetic code in two manners: having more than one tRNA (with a specific anti-codon) for a particular amino acid; and 'wobble' base-pairing, i.e. permitting non-standard base-pairing at the 3rd anti-codon position.
Source: RNAcentral